GGGAAUGUAGCUUUGCAGAGCACUUGCCUCGCAUGCAUGAAUCCUGGGUUCCACUCCCAGCACUGCAA
Molecule: transfer RNA, 68 nt
Filed under: Cricetulus griseus (Chinese hamster)
Lineage: Eukaryota; Metazoa; Chordata; Mammalia; Rodentia; Cricetidae
Rfam family: tRNA
About the family: Transfer RNA (tRNA) molecules are approximately 80 nucleotides in length.
Source: Rfam by way of RNAcentral